RNAcentral lists this ribosomal RNA (447 nucleotides) under uncultured bacterium. Its description in RNAcentral is "bacterial SSU rRNA". It matches the Rfam family "Bacterial small subunit ribosomal RNA", at positions 355 to 825 of the family's 1533-position model. The record is from RNAcentral.
UGGGGAAUAUUGGACAAUGGGCGAAAGCCUGAUCCAGCAAUGCCGCGUGAGUGAUGAAGGCCUUAGGGUUGUAAAGCUCUUUUACCAGGGAUGAUAAUGACAGUACCUGGAGAAUAAGCUCCGGCUAACUCCGUGCCAGCAGCCGCGGUAAUACGGAGGGAGCUAGCGUUGUUCGGAAUUACUGGGCGUAAAGCGUACGUAGGCGGUGACUCAAGUCAGAGGUGAAAGCCUGGAGCUCAACUCCAGAACUGCCUUUGAAACUAGGUCGCUAGAAUCACGGAGAGGUGAGUGGAAUUCCGAGUGUAGAGGUGAAAUUCGUAGAUAUUCGGAAGAACACCAGUGGCGAAGGCGGCUCACUGGACGUGUAUUGACGCUGAGGUACGAAAGCGUGGGGAGCAAACAGGAUUAGAUACCCCGGUAGUCCCUGAGCGGGCUGGCAAGGCGCAU